This 429-nucleotide ribosomal RNA is filed under the name uncultured archaeon. RNAcentral describes it as "bacterial SSU rRNA". It matches the Rfam family "Archaeal small subunit ribosomal RNA", at positions 474 to 903 of the family's 1478-position model. The record is from RNAcentral.
UACCUGCAGCUCAAGUGGUGACCACUAUUAUUGGGCCUAAAACGUUCGUAGCCGGUUUAUUAAAUGCUUGGGUAAAUCGUGUAGCUUAACUAUACGAAUUCCGGGUAGACUGAUAGACUUGAGACCGGGAGAAGCUAGAGGUACUCCUGGGGUAGAGGUGAAAUUCUGUAAUCCUGGGGGGACCACCAGUGGCGAAGGCGUCUAGCUAGAACGGGUCUGACGGUGAGGAACGAAGCCCUGGGGCGCAAACCGGAUUAGAUACCCGGGUAGUCCAGGGUGUAAACGCUGCUUGCUUGAUGUUAGUUGGGCUCCGAGCCCAAUUAGUGUCGGAGAGAAGUUGUUAAGCAAGCUGCCUGGGAAGUACGAUCGCAAGAUUGAAACAUAAAGGAAUUGGCGGGGGAGCACAGCAACGGGUGGAGCGUGCGGUUU